CCUACGGGAGGCUGCAGUGAGGAAUAUUGGUCAAUGGGCGGGAGCCUGAACCAGCCAAGCCGCGUGAGGGAAGAAGGUACAGUGUAUCGUAAACCUCUUUUGUCAGGGAACAAAGGCGGGGACUAGUCCCCGGAUGAGGGUACCUGAAGAAAAAGCAUCGGCUAACUCCGUGCCAGCAGCCGCGGUAAUACGGAGGAUGCGAGCGUUAUCCGGAUUUAUUGGGUUUAAAGGGUGCGCAGGCGGCCUGUUAAGUCAGAGGGAAAAGCCCGGGGCUCAACCCCGGCUAGCCGUUGAAACUGGGUGUCUUGAGUUGGGGAGAGGUACGCGGAAUGCGCGGUGUAGCGGUGAAAUGCUUAGAUAUCGCGCAGAACCCCGAUUGCGAAGGCAGCGUACCGGCUCCACACUGACGCUGAGGCACGAAAGCGUGGGUAUCGAACAGGAUUAGAUACCCUGGUAGUC
This 459-nucleotide ribosomal RNA is filed under the name uncultured bacterium. RNAcentral describes it as "partial 16S ribosomal RNA". It matches the Rfam family "Bacterial small subunit ribosomal RNA", at positions 338 to 795 of the family's 1533-position model. The record is from RNAcentral.